RNAcentral lists this ribosomal RNA (492 nucleotides) under uncultured bacterium. RNAcentral describes it as "partial 16S ribosomal RNA". It matches the Rfam family "Bacterial small subunit ribosomal RNA", at positions 29 to 507 of the family's 1533-position model. The record is from RNAcentral.
AGUGAACGCUGGCGGCAUGCCUAACACAUGCAAGUCGAACGGCAGCACAGUAAGCGCGUGCUCCUACGGGUGGCGACUGGCGGACGGGUGAGGAGUAGAUCAGAAACUUCUUUUUCUUGGGUGACAACGUGGGGAAACAUACGCUAAUACCUCAUAUAUUCUACGGGAUAGUUCAGGGGUUCUUGGCACUUUUCGCGUCUGAUUUAGCCGGUGUCGCAUUAGCUAGUUGGCAUGGUAAAGGCCUACCAAGGCGACGAUGCGUAGCUGAUCUGAGAGGAUGAUCGGCCACACUGGAACUGAGACACGGUCCAGACUCCUACGGGAGGCAGCAGUAGGGAAUCUUGGGCAAUGGGCGAAAGCUUGACGGAGCAAUGCCGCGUGAGUGAAGAAGGCCUUCGGGUCGUAAAGCUCUGUUGUUAGGAAAGAAAAGAUGCGGGUGUAACCAUGGAUGUCUUGACGGUACCUAAAGAGAAAGCACCGGCUAACUACGUG